RNAcentral lists this ribosomal RNA (253 nucleotides) under uncultured bacterium. RNAcentral's name for it is "partial 16S ribosomal RNA". It matches the Rfam family "Bacterial small subunit ribosomal RNA", at positions 524 to 776 of the family's 1533-position model. The record is from RNAcentral.
UACGGGGGGGGCAAGCGUUGUUCGGAAUUACUGGGCGUAAAGGGCUCGUAGGUGGCCAACUAAGUCAUACGUGAAAUCCCUCAGCUUAACUGGGGAACUGCGUCUGAUACUGGAUGGCUUGAGUUUGGGAGAGGGAUGCGGAAUUCCAGGUGUAGCGGUGAAAUGCGUAGAUAUCAGGAGGAACACCGAUGGCGAAGGCAGGUCUCUGGGCCACUACUGACGCUGAGAAGCGAAAGCAUGGGGAGCGAACAGG